UUGGAGACGAUGUCCUUCAGUUAGGCUGGCCCCAGAACAGGUGCUGCAUGGCUGUCGUCAGCUCGUGUCGUGAGAUGUUGGGUUAAGUCCCGCAACGAGCGCAACCCUCGCCCUUAGUUCACAGCAUUUAGUUGGGCACUCUAAGGGGACUGCCGGUGAUAAGCCGAGAGGAAGGUGGGGAUGACGUCAAGUCCUCAUGGCCCUUACGGGCUGGGCUACACA
Molecule: ribosomal RNA, 222 nt
Filed under: Rhizobium sp. SB33
Lineage: Bacteria; Pseudomonadati; Pseudomonadota; Alphaproteobacteria; Hyphomicrobiales; Rhizobiaceae
Description: partial 16S ribosomal RNA
Rfam family: Bacterial small subunit ribosomal RNA
Source: RNAcentral